AUAUUACUCGCUCCAUCUGGAAUUACUUGUCACAGAAAUGGAUGUAUCUAGAUGUAUUUUUUUUGUUUAGAUACAUUCAUUUCUAUCCAUUUAUACGACAAGUAAUUCGGGACGGAAGGAGUACUAC
RNAcentral lists this microRNA precursor (127 nucleotides) under Hordeum vulgare. Its description in RNAcentral is "microRNA MIR1122". It matches the Rfam family "MIR1120/MIR1122 microRNA precursor family". The record is from RNAcentral. Lineage: Eukaryota; Viridiplantae; Streptophyta; Magnoliopsida; Poales; Poaceae.